GGUUUCGUAGUGUAGUGGUUCGUAAACUCUAAAUCCGCAUCUCGAUGAACUUCAAACCUAACAUACGACAGGCUAGCACUCGGGAUUCUGAAAACAGAGAUUUCCCGCAACCCCGGUUCGAUCCCGGGCGAGACCU
Coniosporium tulheliwenetii is the source of this 136-nucleotide non-coding RNA. NCBI's taxonomy places the organism in Eukaryota, Fungi, Ascomycota, Dothideomycetes. The record is from the annotation of a GenBank genome assembly.